This 507-nucleotide ribosomal RNA is filed under the name uncultured bacterium. RNAcentral's name for it is "bacterial SSU rRNA". It matches the Rfam family "Bacterial small subunit ribosomal RNA", at positions 338 to 851 of the family's 1533-position model. The record is from RNAcentral.
CCUACGGGAGGCAGCAGUAAGGAAUAUUGGUCAAUGGACGAAAGUCUGAACCAGCCAUGCCGCGUGAAGGAUUAAGGCCCUCUGGGUUGUAAACUUCUUUUAUCUGGGACGAAAAAAGGGUAUUCUUACUCACUUGACGGUACCAGAGGAAUAAGCACCGGCUAACUCCGUGCCAGCAGCCGCGGUAAUACGGAGGGUGCAAGCGUUAUCCGGAUUUACUGGGUUUAAAGGGUGCGUAGGUGGGCUUGUAAGUCAGUGGUGAAAUCUCCGGGCUUAACCCGGAAACUGCCAUUGAUACUAUAGGUCUUGAAUUAUCUGGAGGUAAGCGGAAUAUGUCAUGUAGCGGUGAAAUGCUUAGAUAUGACAUAGAACACCAAUUGCGAAGGCAGCUUACUACGGAUAUAUUGACACUGAGGCACGAAAGCGUGGGGAUCAAACAGGAUUAGAUACCCUGGUAGUCCACGACCUAACGAUGAUACUCACAUCAGCGANACACUGUUGUGUNUG